Long non-coding RNA from Sorghum bicolor (sorghum), 1268 nucleotides. RefSeq lists it as uncharacterized. Lineage: Eukaryota; Viridiplantae; Streptophyta; Magnoliopsida; Poales; Poaceae. The transcript is spliced from 2 exons. The record is from RefSeq and is a predicted model, not a curated record.
GCCUGUGCGGGCGCGGGUGCGCUCCGCCACAACCCUGCGUCCCCGCGUUGCUGGUCUGCUGGCUGCUGGGCUACAGCUGGCGCCGCAUCUGUUCACCUCCAUCUCUCUUCUCCCUCUUCCUCUCCCUCUCUCUAGCGAGCAGACGACUGGGUGGGCUACCACCGCCCGCCCUACGCCAGUCGCCAGGUGCUGAAGCCUUCGCCGGCGACAAGCAGCCACCAGGUGGUUGAGGCAUCUCCCUGGCAUGUAACACCAUUUUGUGGAUGGCAUUGGCAUGUCUGGUUUACACUUCAUCAACUCAUUGUCAGAGCUCUACCAUGGAACUCCAAAUUUCUAGGAUACCCUUCAUGGAUCACACUCACCUCCUCUCCAUCUUUCCACAUGUUGACUACCCGCCUGUCCCAGCCAUGUUCACCAUGGCCCAGGCCUUCACUUCCAAGCCAAUGCCAUCUGCUAUCGUCGCCGACAUUUUCAAGCUAAUUCAUUCAGACCUUGGUUGCCUGCGCUCACAGCUUCUCACAUUUGAAGGUGCACCACAUUUAAGCACACCAGCACAUAUGACAUGCUAGCCGAGGAUGCCUGGUGAUGUGUUUCUGUGCAAGGUUUCAUUAGGAUAUAUUGUGGCACUGAUAGGUGACAACGGCUGCAUCUCCCACUUCUGGAUGGUUACUUCAGCAAUGUCAUCUUCACUGCCACAUCAUUUGUCAAGGCAAGCAAGGUGGCCCGUGGUCUAGCAGAUGGGGUUGCAGUCAUCCAGGAGGCACUAAGUUUGAUGGAUAAUGACUAUUGCCCUACCGCUCAGCAUUGGACUACCUGGGAUUGAAUAAGAGCUUUUAGCAUUGAUAGAUGGAGCUCACAUCUACCAGUUCCCGAACCUGGGGCUCACGAGCUGGGUGCAGCCUGUGUUCAUCGGCCCAAUCACAUGUUGCGGCCUGAGGUUUGUUAUCCGAGGUGCAAAUAGCGAUGUGCAGGCUGAACACAUGAAGAUGGGUCCAGAAGCUGCUAUUCGAGUUGUAAAUGGAGUGCUCUACUUAUUGGAAAAGGAUUGUAAUAGAGCAAGAAGCUUCAGGGCGUAGCCAGGUUCUCCCUAGUGAAACAUCUGAAUCUUUAGAGUGAACCUUGUAACUGUUGUUCUUCAAAUCUUGUAAGUGAAUUCAUUGUACACUAUUUUAUGGGAAUAUUUGGAAAACAUCAAAUUGUACAAUUACUAGUAAAGAGUUCUAUUAAGACAAGGGGAAAAACAAUGCAGAAACGGGUUUACAAAGUUA